GACGAACGCUGGCGGCGUGCCUAAUACAUGCAAGUAGAACGCUGAAGCGAGGAGCUUCCUCUUCUUGGAUGAGUUGCGAACGGGUGAGUAACGCGUAGGUAACCUGCCUUGUAGCGGGGGAUAACUAUUGGAAACGAUAGCUAAUACCGCAUAACAAUGGAUGACACAUGUCAUUUAUUUGAAAGGGGCAAUUGCUCCACUACAAGAUGGACCUGCGUUGUAUUAGCUAGUAGGUGAGGUAAUGGCUCACCUAGGCGACGAUACAUAGCCGACCUGAGAGGGUGAUCGGCCACACUGGGACUGAGACACGGCCCAGACUCCUACGGGAGGCAGCAGUAGGGAAUCUUCGGCAAUGGGGGCAACCCUGACCGAGCAACGCCGCGGGAGUGAAGAAGGUUUUCGGAUCGUAAAGCUCUGUUGUAAGUCAAGAACGGGUGUGAGAGUGGAAAGUUCACACUGUGACGGUAGCUUACCAGAAAGAGACGGCUAACUACGUG
This 497-nucleotide ribosomal RNA is filed under the name uncultured bacterium. RNAcentral describes it as "partial 16S ribosomal RNA". It matches the Rfam family "Bacterial small subunit ribosomal RNA", at positions 28 to 507 of the family's 1533-position model. The record is from RNAcentral.